Molecule: ribosomal RNA, 422 nt
Filed under: uncultured Glomeraceae
Lineage: Eukaryota; Fungi; Glomeromycota; Glomeromycetes; Glomerales; Glomeraceae
Description: SSU rRNA
Rfam family: Eukaryotic small subunit ribosomal RNA
Source: RNAcentral
GGGAGGUAGUGACAAUAAAUAACAAUACAGGGUUCUUUGAAUCUUGUAAUUGGAAUGAGUACAAUUUAAAUCUCUUAACGAGGAACGAUUGGAGGGCAAGUCUGGUGCCAGCAGCCGCGGUAAUUCCAGCUCCAAUAGCGUAUAUUAAAGUUGUUGCAGUUAAAAAGCUCGUAGUUGAAUUUCGGGGUCAGCAGGUUGGUCGUGCCACUGGUAUGCACUGAUUUCGCUGAUUCCUCCUUUCUGAAGAACUGUAAUGUCAUUAAUUUGGUGUUGCAAGGAAACAGGACUGUUACUUUGAAAAAAUUAGAGUGUUUAAAGCAGGCUAACGCUUGAAUACAUUAGCAUGGAAUAAUGAAAUAGGACGUUCGAUCCUAUUUUGUUGGUUUCUAGGAUUGACGUAAUGAUUAAUAGGGAUAGUUGGG